This 450-nucleotide ribosomal RNA is filed under the name uncultured bacterium. Its description in RNAcentral is "partial 16S ribosomal RNA". It matches the Rfam family "Bacterial small subunit ribosomal RNA", at positions 354 to 796 of the family's 1533-position model. The record is from RNAcentral.
GUGGGGAAUUUUGGACAAUGGGCGAAAGCCUGAUCCAGCCAUGCCGCGUGCAGGAUGAAGGCCUUCGGGUUGUAAACUGCUUUUGUACGGAACGAAAAGACUCCUUCUAAUAAAGGGGGUCCAUGACGGUACCGUAAGAAUAAGCACCGGCUAACUACGUGCCAGCAGCCGCGGUAAUACGUAGGGUGCAAGCGUUAAUCGGAAUUACUGGGCGUAAAGCGUGCGCAGGCGGUUAUAUAAGACAGGUGUGAAAGCCCAGGGCUCAACCUGGGAAAUGCAUUUGUGACUGUAUAGCUAGAGUACGGUAGAGGGGAAUGGAAUUCCGCGUGUAGCAGUGAAAUGCGUAGAUAUGCGGAGGAACACCGAUGGCGAAGGCAAUCCCCUGGACCUGUACUGACGCUCAUGCACGAAAGCGUGGGGAGCAAACAGGAUUAGAAACCCGAGUAGUCC